AUUAUAUAUUAUGAGCAUUGGAUGAUAUGUAUUGGUUUGGAUUAUAUUGUUCAUUGAAUCUAAAUCAUUCAAUGCUCGUAGCAUUUAAUGUUAUGUAGUACUGAGUGUUUAGACUCAUAUGAGUUCCUGCUCUAUUAGAAAGAUAAUACAAAUGUGAUAUGAAAUAUAUAUGAUAAGAAUAUCAUUUUUGCGUUUUUAAGGUCUUGUAGUAGUACCUUAUAAAGUAGUUAAUUUUUACACAUCUUGUAAUGUAUUUUUUUAACAAAUGAGUUCAAUUUUUUUUUGGUUAUGUUUAAGUCAUUUGCCACAUCAAAUGGCACCAACCUUGCAGUGGAUGUAUUGGUGUGGGGUAGGAAUGAAAUCCGCGGUCCAGAGUUUGUGAAUUAAGAGAUUCAGAUGUUUCAAGAGAGACAAAGAGAGAUCUGGAUCAUUUAAGUUUUUAGGUUUGUGAAGUGAGUCAGU
This 462-nucleotide long non-coding RNA is filed under the name Malus domestica (apple). RNAcentral's name for it is "long non-coding RNA (MDOM_LNC009733)". The record is from RNAcentral. Lineage: Eukaryota; Viridiplantae; Streptophyta; Magnoliopsida; Rosales; Rosaceae.